UCUAACUUGUUUAGUGGAUGGGUGCAGCGUCAGCUGCAUCCAUUCAGUAAACACACGUGCUUCUGCGUACGGUGGAAUCUGUCCAUACGUACGCAGGGUGCAUACACGCUUUAAUGUAGUAAUGUUGUAUAACUAUAAACAAACAG
Molecule: unclassified non-coding RNA, 146 nt
Filed under: uncultured fungus
Lineage: Eukaryota; Fungi
Description: sequence contains ITS1, 5.8S rRNA gene
Source: RNAcentral